Molecule: transfer RNA, 69 nt
Filed under: Dryaderces aff. inframaculata DO-2022
Lineage: Eukaryota; Metazoa; Chordata; Amphibia; Anura; Hylidae
Description: tRNA-Tyr
Rfam family: tRNA
About the family: Transfer RNA (tRNA) molecules are approximately 80 nucleotides in length. Their secondary structure includes four short double-helical elements and three loops (D, anti-codon, and T loops).
Source: RNAcentral
GGUAAGAUGGUCGAAGAUAGGCAGUGGGUUGUAGCCCCAAAAAUAGAGGUUCAAGUCCUCUUCUUACCA